Molecule: long non-coding RNA, 210 nt
Filed under: Elaeis guineensis (African oil palm)
Lineage: Eukaryota; Viridiplantae; Streptophyta; Magnoliopsida; Arecales; Arecaceae
Description: long non-coding RNA (EGUI_LNC031151)
Source: RNAcentral
UGUGGACAGAAAAAAUUAUAUGAGAUGCAAUUAAUAUAAAAUAGUUUAGAUCUAAAAUUAUUUUGAUUUUUAAACUAUGUUCAUGAUGAUAAUGCACUUAAUUGAGAAUUAAAACAUAAAACUAAUGAGAUCUUAAAUUGAGAAUUUAAGAUCUAAUUUUAUUGCAUGAAACAUUGGAUUUUGGAUAUGGGUUGAACAAAUUAGGUCCAG